Marmota flaviventris (yellow-bellied marmot) is the source of this 336-nucleotide non-coding RNA. The record is from RefSeq and is a predicted model, not a curated record. NCBI's taxonomy places the organism in Eukaryota, Metazoa, Chordata, Mammalia, Rodentia, Sciuridae.
AUUCUGUGCUGAGAAUUGAACCCAGUGCCUCACACCUGCUAGAGACUUGGUGAAUUUUCCCACAAAGCUGCAAUGAAGACAGAGGGAGAACAAAAUCUAUACAAAGAGAAAUUACAAGAAGGUGUGAUAUAACACUCAAACAUAUAUACUCAUUUUGACAAAACGUGUUUGGAGCUGAAUUCUUUCUCUGCAUUUGAGUCUUUAUAAGAUAAAAGUACAUACCUUUAGGGAACUAUUAGGGAACUAUUAACUCUAAAUCCCAAUACAUGAAGUUAAUUUUAAUUGGCAAAAAGUUAAUUUGACAUUAUUAUUAAAAAUAUCUUUUGGGUUUGUUCA